RNAcentral lists this ribosomal RNA (446 nucleotides) under uncultured bacterium. RNAcentral's name for it is "bacterial SSU rRNA". It matches the Rfam family "Bacterial small subunit ribosomal RNA", at positions 330 to 792 of the family's 1533-position model. The record is from RNAcentral.
ACCAGACUCCUACGGGAGGCAGCAGUGGGGGAUAUUGCACAAUGGGGGAAACCCUGAUGCAGCGACGCCGCGUGGGUGAAGAAGCGCCUCGGCGCGUAAAGCCCUGUCAGCAGGGAAGAAAAUGACGGUACCUGAAGAAGAAGCCCCGGCUAACUACGUGCCGGCAGCCGCGGUAAUACGUAGGGGGCCAGCGUUAUCCGGAUUUACUGGGUGUAAAGGGGGCGCAGACGGCGAUGCAAGCCAGGAGUGAAAGCCCGGGGCCCAACCCCGGGACUGCUCUUGGAACUGCGUGGCUGGGGUGCAGGAGGGGCAGGCGGAAUUCCUAGUGUAGCGGUGAAAUGCGUAGAUAUUAGGAGGAACACCAGUGGCGAAGGCGGCCUGCUGGACGGUGUACUGACGCUGAGGCUCGAAAGCGUGGGGAGCAAACAGGAUUAGAUACCCUUGUA